AGUGAACGCUGGCGGCAGGCCUAACACAUGCAAGUCGAGCGGCAGCGCGUCCGACCACCCUCGGGUGGUCGGAUGGCGGCGAGCGGCGGACGGGUGAGGAAUGCAUCGGAAUCUGCCUCGUUGUGGGGGAUAACGUAGGGAAACUUACGCUAAUACCGCAUACGACCUACGGGUGAAAGUGGGGGACCUUCGGGCCUCACGCGAUGAGAUGAGCCGAUGCCGGAUUAGCUAGUUGGCGGGGUAAAGGCCCACCAAGGCGACGAUCCGUAGCUGGUCUGAGAGGAUGAUCAGCCACACUGGAACUGAGACACGGUCCAGACUCCUACGGGAGGCAGCAGUGGGGAAUAUUGGACAAUGGGCGAAAGCCUGAUCCAGCGACGCCGCGUGUGUGAAGAAGGCCUGCGGGUUGUAAAGCACUUUAGUGGGGAUGAAAAGCCUAGAGCUAAUACCUCUGGGUCUUGACCUAA
RNAcentral lists this ribosomal RNA (467 nucleotides) under uncultured bacterium. Its description in RNAcentral is "bacterial SSU rRNA". It matches the Rfam family "Bacterial small subunit ribosomal RNA", at positions 30 to 477 of the family's 1533-position model. The record is from RNAcentral.